This 247-nucleotide unclassified non-coding RNA is filed under the name air metagenome. RNAcentral describes it as "partial contains small subunit ribosomal RNA, internal transcribed spacer 1, and 5.8S ribosomal RNA". The stretch from base 1 to 46 matches the Rfam family "Eukaryotic small subunit ribosomal RNA", at positions 1786 to 1831 of the family's 1831-position model. The record is from RNAcentral.
AAGUCGUAACAAGGUCUCCGUAGGUGAACCUGCGGAGGGAUCAUUAAAGAAUUGAACAGCGGCGUGCCUCCGGGCGCGACUGCUGCCUCUUCUAACCCUUUGUGAACCACAACUCUGUUGCUUCGGGGGCGACCCCGCCGUCUCGGCGGUGGUGCCCCCGGUGGCCACCAAUCAAACUCUGCAUCUCUUGCGUCGGAGUCUUAAAGAAAUUUAAACAAAACUUUCAACAACGGAUCUCUUGGUUCUG